CUACUUACCUGACAGGGGAGAUACCAUGAUCAUGAAAGUGGUUUUCCCAGGGCGAGGCUUACCCAUUGCACUUCAGAUGUGCUGUCCCCAGCAAUUUCCCCUUAAUGCCGAAAACUACUGCAUAAUUUGUGUAGUGGGGGGAUGGCAUUUGCCCUCUCCCC
This 161-nucleotide small nuclear RNA is filed under the name Castor canadensis (American beaver). RNAcentral's name for it is "U1 spliceosomal RNA (ENSCCNG00000003707.1)". It matches the Rfam family "U1 spliceosomal RNA". Rfam says of the family: U1 is a small nuclear RNA (snRNA) component of the spliceosome (involved in pre-mRNA splicing). Its 5' end forms complementary base pairs with the 5' splice junction, thus defining the 5' donor site of an intron. The record is from Rfam by way of RNAcentral. Lineage: Eukaryota; Metazoa; Chordata; Mammalia; Rodentia; Castoridae.